RNAcentral lists this ribosomal RNA (322 nucleotides) under uncultured eukaryote. RNAcentral describes it as "partial 18S ribosomal RNA". It matches the Rfam family "Eukaryotic small subunit ribosomal RNA", at positions 1470 to 1796 of the family's 1831-position model. The record is from RNAcentral.
CCCUUAUAUGUUCUGGGCCGCACGCGUGCUACACUGAGUGGAUCAGCGGGUCAGGUUGCGCGAAAGUGUUUCCUAAUCUUUAAAUCCGCUCGUGAUGGGGAUUGACGGUUGCAAUUUUCCGUCAUGAACGAGGAAUACCUUGUAAGCGCGGGUCAUCAUCCCGCGCUGAAUACGUCCCUGCCCUUUGUACACACCGCCCGUCGCUCCUACCGAUUGAGUGGUCCGGUGAGGCUUUGGGAUCUGAGCGGAAAGAGCGUUUCGCUGUUUCUGCCCGGAAAACUCAGUCGAACCUUAUCAUUUAGAGGAAGGAGAAGUCGUAACA